GACGAACGCUGGCGGCGUGCUUAACACAUGCAAGUCGAACGGAAAGGCACUGCUUUUGUGGGGUGCUCGAGUGGCGAACGGGUGAGUAACACGUGAGUAACCUGCCCUUGACUUUGGGAUAACUUCAGGAAACUGGGGCUAAUACCGGAUAGGAGCUCCUGCUGCAUGGUGGGGGUUGGAAAGUUUCGGCGGUUGGGGAUGGACUCGCGGCUUAUCAGCUUGUUGGUGGGGUAGUGGCUUACCAAGGCUUUGACGGGUAGCCGGCCUGAGAGGGUGACCGGCCACAUUGGGACUGAGAUACGGCCAAGACUCCUACGGGAGGCAGCAGUGGGGAAUAUUGCACAAUGGGCGGAAGCCUGAUGCAGCAACGCCGCGUGCGGGAUGACGGCCUUCGGGUUGUAAACCGCUUUCGCCUGUGACGAAGCGUGAGUGACGGUAAUGGGUAAAGAAGCACCGGCUAACUACGUG
RNAcentral lists this ribosomal RNA (468 nucleotides) under uncultured bacterium. RNAcentral describes it as "partial 16S ribosomal RNA". It matches the Rfam family "Bacterial small subunit ribosomal RNA", at positions 28 to 507 of the family's 1533-position model. The record is from RNAcentral.